UCAAAACCUAGUGUUGAUUUUCCCAAAAUCUCGUCGAUUAGAGUGUAGAUACUGGAGAUCGUUGGCUUCUCCUGUAGGUUCUUCUUGUUUUCUUCAAAUUCUUGUCGAUCUUGAAGUGUAAAAAAUAUUUGUGGACGUUUUUCUUGUUUACUGAUUUCAGCUCAAAGAAAUGGCUUUUGAGCUCGUUACACUGAGGAUGUUCCAUGGAAGUCAAUUACAACAGUAUCAUAUCAACUACGAAUGAGGUAUUAUGAUAGAGUACUUUGAUAUUGAUGUUACAGAUUUUUGUAUUUUGAGGAUGUUGAGAUGGAUGUGCGUGCACGCUAGGUUAGAUAGGAUCAGAAAUGAGGCUAUUCGCGACAAAAUAGGUGUAGCCCCUAAUAAGGACACAAUGCGGGGAUCGCGCUUAUAUGGUUUGGUCAUGCGAAGAGGAGGAACACAAACCGCCCUAUUAAGAUGUGUGAGAGGUUGACAUUGGAGGGCCUACGGAGAGGUAGAGGUAAGCCAAAGAAGAGGUGGGGAGAGGUGAUUAGGCAAGACAUGUCGCAACUUCAGCCGACCGGGGACAUGACCCAUGAUAGGAAGGUAUUGAGGUCCAGGAUUAGGAUAUUAGAAUCAGUAGUCUAGAGUAUUCCUAACAGUAGUAUUGGCACGUAGUCUUGCUUUCUGUUGGUAGUAGGUUUUUAUGGCUAACCGUUAUUUUCUUUCAUGGUUGAUCACUUUACUAUCUUGUUGUUUUUAUUUGUUUUUGUAUGAUUUUUUGGUAUUGUUCCUUCUUAUCUAUAUUUUCAUUAAUAGGUUGCUUGUACUUUCCUGAGCCGAGGAUUUAUUGGAAAUAACCUAUCUAUCCUCACAAGGUAGGGGUAAGUUUUGCGUACAUACUACCUCUCUCAGAUUCCACGAUGUAGGAUAAUACUGGGUAUGUUCUUAUUAUUGUUGUUGUAGACUAUGUGAUAGAAAAUGGUAUAAUUGUAAAACAUAUGACAUUUAUGUGAGACCACCCAAUUCUAGCACUUUGGUAAAAAAUUUAACUGAUGAUGAUAUUAUGGGUAUUGUACCUCUAUUGAAAAUUGGGAUAUAUUUGAAGUGAAUGUGUCCCACUAUGUUGAUGAAUCAUUAGUGGUCCCUCCAGCUAUUGAAUAUGUAAGCCAUGUGUGUGAGGAAUUUAGUGUAUCUUUUGAUAAAGGCAUAAAUCAAAGUGUUGGGGGCAAUAAAGGUUUAGGGUUUGAAGAACCACAAACUAGUUUCUGAUAAUAUGCUUGAUGGAGAUGAGGGUGGUCCUUCUAAUCUUGAUGAUACUCUAUUAGUUGAAAUUGAUGUAGAAAGUAGUGACAAUAGUACAUAUUCAGAAAUUGAAGAGCUGUUUAAGGAAGGGGAAGAAGAAUAUGGUAGAGAUGUUGAUAAGGAGUAUAGGAGUUUAAGAGAAGAGAGGAAAAAGGUGAAGAGCAGGAAGAAAAAAGAGAAAGAGGUUGAAAUUAGACAUGCCAGUUAGGUAAAAAGAGUUCAUAUGUAAGAUAUGAUGAGUAUGCAGCUAGGAAGACGACAUCUUUAGAGGGUAAGAUUGUUGGAGAUGAGCUAUAUUAUCCCUCAAAUGAAGCUGCUAGUUUUGAAACUGAUCCUAAUGAAACUGCUUAUGAUGAAGGUGAAGAUGAAAUCCAACAUCUAGUAAGAGCAAGAAGAAAACAACAAAAUAUGGUUAUCUUUGAUCCUAUUUAUAAGUUAAUUGUUUAGGAAACUGGGUGUUCUUUUGAGAGCGUUAGACAAUAUAAAGAAGCACUACUAAGUAAGCACUUGAUGAACAUGUAAAGUUAGAUAAGUAUAUUAAUGAACCAACAAGGUAAGAGUAAAGUGUUGUGUUAGCUGUCCAUGGCUCUUGGUUGCUAGUUAUGAUUCUAGGACAAAAUAUUUUGUGGUGAAAAACUAUAAUCCACUUCACAAGUACAAUGGUAGUACCAAGAACAAACUGUGCAACUCAAAAUACUUAGCAGAAAGAUACAAGGACAGAAUAAUUUUUGAACCAAAUAUUAGAAUCUUUAAGUUCCAGGAGUUAGUUCAAAAGGAGUUAAAACUAUAAAUUAGAAGGAUUAUUGAAAGGAAAACCAAUAAUAUUAUGUUAACACAGAUUAUGAGAGACUAUGUUAAGGAGUUUGGUAAAAUUCUAGACUAUAGAUAUGAGCUGCUAAGGACUAAUUCAGGCAGCACGUGUGCUGCUAGAUUUAGUAAAGAAACACAUGAAGAUGGAAAGAAAAUAUUUGUAGCAUUUUAUAUUUUCUUUGAUGCAUUGAAGAAGGCAUUCCUUGAUAGUUGUAAGAGGUUUAUUGGAUUGGAUGGUUGUUUUUCGAAAGGUGUAUGUAAAGGGCAAUUACUUGUGGUUGUUUGUAAGGAUGGAAAUAAUCAUAUGUUACCACUGGCUUGGGUAGUAGUUGAAGUUGAAGCAUAUCUAAUUAGAGAUGGAUUGUGAAUAUUUCAAAGAAUAAUCUUGAGCUUGGAGAUGGGACAAAGUUGACUAUUAUUAUUGAUAUACAGAAGGUACUUAUAUUCUAUUAAAUGUGUUGUUCAAAUCUGCUAAUCUGUUUAUUUUUUAACUGUUUAUCUUUUAACUGUUCAUCUUUUAUAUGUUGUAGGGACUUGACAAAGCAAUAGUGAGAUCAUCCCACAGCCAGAACAUAGAAUGUGGGUCAAGCACAUCAUAGCAAACUGGUUAAAAAGAUGAAGGGGAAUUGAGAGAAGGAACUAUUUUCGGAGAUGUGCUAGGUCAACUUAUAAACAAGAGUUAAAGAAACUAGGGGAUAAAAUAGUUGAGGACAUGCUAUACUAUAACAAAGAGAGGUGGUACAAGGUAUAUUUCAAGUAUUUCAGCAAUUGUGACAGUGUUGACAACAAUAUGGCUGAAACUUUAAUUUUUGGAUAUUAGGGCCAAUGCACAAGACAAUCAUCAUAAUGCUAGAAGAGCGCAUGGAUGAUGAUAAGAAUAGCAAAAAUGAGGGAUUCCUGUGAUACUUGGAUCAGUGACAUUUCUCCAAUGAGACCAUAGGUGUUGUAGGAGAACACAACAAAAUCAAUUAAAUGUGUGGUGCACUAGAAUGGUUAAUAUGGUUAUAAAGUGAAGGGAGGACAUACCAGUAAGCAUAUAGUGAAUCUGAACAGGAUAACCUGCACCGAUAGAGCUUCUAUGUUGAAUGGUAUACCAUGUGCUCAUGAUGUAGCUGAUAUCCAUUUCAAAAAAUUGGAGUAUUGCAAAUUGGUACCAUAGGAAGACUUAUAUAAAGACCUACAGUCGCUUCCUUCAGCCUGCACAAAAUAUGGAGAUGUAGCCAUAAUCACAAAACUCUUCAGUUAUACCAUCAAAAGUAAGAGUACAUGGCAAGCCCAAAAAAGAGAGAAGGAAGGAACCGACUGAAAACAAAAUAGGAAAGCUUUUCAAAAGAGGUACUCAAAUGAUAUGCAACCAUUGUCAUGCUAAAGGCCAUAACAAGAAAGGUUGUCUGAAGACUGCAUAAGGUACUGCAAGGUCAACUGGUAGUACAAAGUCAUCAAGUGUUGGUUCUUUAUCAACACCUUCAGUUUAAUGUAUACCAAAAAGAGGAAGAGGAAGAGGAAGAGGAAGAGGAAGAGGAAGAGGAAGAGGAAGAGGAAGAGGAAGGCCGAUAGGCUCAACAAAACAGGUAAUUACUCCGAAGUUACUUACAGGUGUGCCCUUUGCCCUGAAGGAACUCACAUCCUUCUCUCGUGACUUCAGGCGCCCAAGUUUGCGCCAUUCAUCCGGUGCAUAUAGACUACACUUUUGUAGGUCUUUUUUAUGUUUAACUUCUUAAUAAUUUGUACUUUUAUUGGAUAUUGCUACUUGUAUAGGCAUAGGGACUACCUAUAAAAGGCGCAGAAUAGUUGGUAUGAGAAUUCUACUAACAGAAAGUAUAGCUUCCAUUUAUAAUGUAAGCAUAUAAUAUCAAUUGUUACUAUGAACUCCUUUUGAUCAAAAUUGGAUGUAAACUAACUAAGUUUGUGUAUAUGAAUAUAGCCUGAAAUGUCAAUUGUGCCUAUGAACUCUGCAGUAGUGACCGGAGAUAUUGGAUACAAACCAAGAACAUGGGUGAAAUGGAAAAGUAAAAAAGCUAUCACCUCAAGGAAUCUUCAACACAUUCAAACUAAGAAAAAAAUGGAGACAAGGUUAAAGGCAUCUCAAAGAGUUCGUUUGAGCCAAACAAUUUCAUCAGCUCCACAAUCAACUGCCUAGUAGAUAUUAGUAUUUUAGUAUUUUUGUUUGACUUUUGGCAGUUGAUAUAUGUAAAGACAAUAGGAAUUUCUGUUUUGGUAUGUAACUACAUUCAACAAUGACUAAACGUUUCUAAGUCUAUGGUAUUAUGUGCAAAAAUGACUGUUGAUUUGUAGGUAUGUUUAACUGGAAAUGAUAUGCAGCAAUAACUUUUGAUAAGAUAGUUUCUGUGCUUUAUUUUUUAAAUCUGUUUUUCUACAAUAUGUAGCAGUUACUUCAGAUUUGUAGGUCUGUUUACAAGAAAUGAUAUGCAGCAAUGAC
Molecule: long non-coding RNA, 4534 nt
Filed under: Nicotiana benthamiana
Lineage: Eukaryota; Viridiplantae; Streptophyta; Magnoliopsida; Solanales; Solanaceae
Description: long non-coding RNA (NBEN_LNC024095)
Source: RNAcentral